Canis lupus familiaris (dog) is the source of this 268-nucleotide long non-coding RNA. RefSeq lists it as uncharacterized. NCBI's taxonomy places the organism in Eukaryota, Metazoa, Chordata, Mammalia, Carnivora, Canidae. The record is from RefSeq and is a predicted model, not a curated record. The transcript has 3 exons.
GAAACAAGUCAAUAUAAACAUCUUCACUUUUUAUUUAUAGACUAGGUUUUCUUCAUCAUUCAGGGUUAACAUCUAGACCUAUGGCAGAAACACCUAACAUAUGAUGCAUACAAAAAGAAGAAUUAAGCUUAGAAAAUGCAGAUGUGGGACAUCUGGCUGGCUCAAUUGGAAGAACAUGGGACUCUUGAUCUCGGGGACUCGUGACUGGUUGUGAAAGGUCAUGAAUUUGAACCCCACACUGGGUGUAAAGAUAACGAAAAAAAUAAGU